GACGAACGCUGGCGGCGUGGAUUAGGCAUGCAAGUCGAACGGUAUCAUCCUUUCGGGGGUGAGAGAGUGGCGAACUGGUGAGUAACACGUAGGUUAUCUACCCUCAAGACGGGGACAACCCAGGGAAACUUGGGCUAAUACCGGAUGUGAGCAACUUUUAGUUGUUUGAAAGGUGGCGUAAGCUGUCGCUUGGGGAUGAGCCUGCGUCCUAUUAGUUAGUUGGUGAGGUAACGGCUCACCUAGGCAAUGAUAGGUAGGCGGCCUUAACGGGUGGUCGCCCACACUGGGAUUGAGAUACGGCCCAGACUCCUACGGGAGGCAGCAGUCGAGAAUAGUCUACAAUGGUCGGAAGACUGAUAGUGCGACGCCGCGUGAACGAUGAAUCCCUUCGGGGUGUAAAGUUCUUUUAUAUGUGAGCAGUGCUUCUUAUAUUAACAGUAUGGGGAGAGAGAUAUUAGCAUAUGAAUAAGCAACGGCUAGCUCCGUGCCAGCAGCCGCGGUAAAA
This 505-nucleotide ribosomal RNA is filed under the name uncultured bacterium. RNAcentral's name for it is "bacterial SSU rRNA". It matches the Rfam family "Bacterial small subunit ribosomal RNA", at positions 28 to 525 of the family's 1533-position model. The record is from RNAcentral.